UAAUCUCAAUAAAGAGAAUCGUUGUCCC
This 28-nucleotide non-coding RNA is filed under the name Mus musculus (house mouse). Lineage: Eukaryota; Metazoa; Chordata; Mammalia; Rodentia; Muridae. The record is from RNAcentral.